This is a non-coding RNA of Xyrauchen texanus (razorback sucker), 72 nucleotides long. The record is from the annotation of a RefSeq genome assembly. Lineage: Eukaryota; Metazoa; Chordata; Actinopteri; Cypriniformes; Catostomidae.
UCCCAUAUGGUCUAGCGGUCAGGAUUCCUGGUUUUUGCCCAGGGGGCCUGGGUUCAACUCCCGGUAUGGGAA